CCUACGGGUGGCUGCAGUGAGGAAUAUUGGUCAAUGGCCGGAAGGCUGAACCAGCCAUGCCGCGUGAAUGUCAGUGCCCUAUGGGCGUUAAACUACUUUUGUCCGGGAGCAAUGAUGGUCACGUGUUGCCAGCCGCGAUUACCGUACGAAGAAGCAUCAGCUAACUCCGUCCCAGCAGCCGCGGUAAUGCGGGUGAUGCAAGCGUUAGCCCGAUUUGUUGGGUUUAAAGGUUGCGUAGGCUGUGCGGUAAAUCAGCGUUGAAAUGCCCCCGCUCAACGGGGUGAAGUGCAAUUGAUACUGGCAUGCUGGAAUGCGGAUGCGGGGGGUGGAAUGUGUGGUGUAGCGGUGAAAUGCAUAGAGAUC
RNAcentral lists this ribosomal RNA (363 nucleotides) under uncultured bacterium. RNAcentral's name for it is "partial 16S ribosomal RNA". It matches the Rfam family "Bacterial small subunit ribosomal RNA", at positions 338 to 698 of the family's 1533-position model. The record is from RNAcentral.